GUAGGCAGCAAGCGUUGUUCGGAAUUACUGGGCGUAAAGAGUGUGUAGGCGGUGUUCUAAGUUUGUCGUGAAGUCUCCCGGCUUAACUGGGAGGGUGCGGCGAAAACUGGAAUGCUAGAGGAUGGGAGAGGUAAGCGGAAUUCCUGGUGUAGCGGUGAAAUGCGUAGAUAUCAGGAGGAACACCUGUGGUGUAGACAGCUUACUGGACCAUUUCUGACGCUGAGACACGAAAGCGUGGGUAGCAAACAGGAUUAGAUACCCUGGUAGUCCACGCCCUAAACGAUGCAUACUUGGUGUGAGCGAUUCAUUUCGUUCGUGCCGGAGCUAACGCGUUAAGUAUGCCGCCUGGGGAGUACGGUCGCAAGAGCGG
Molecule: ribosomal RNA, 370 nt
Filed under: uncultured bacterium
Lineage: Bacteria
Description: bacterial SSU rRNA
Rfam family: Bacterial small subunit ribosomal RNA
Source: RNAcentral